This is a non-coding RNA of Cinara cedri, 275 nucleotides long. The record is from the annotation of a GenBank genome assembly. Lineage: Eukaryota; Metazoa; Arthropoda; Insecta; Hemiptera; Aphididae.
GUCCAAAUUACAAUUAUUGUGCCGAUACAAACUUGUAAAAUUUAUAUAAAUACGUUGAUAUGGUUUUCGAGCCGACAGGUUAAAUAUUACAAUAAGCGAGUGCUAGAAUAACGUUACGGUUUGACCCUAAGUUAAAACAUAGAUUUUUUUUUAAGGUGUUUUGGUGCCCACGUAUAACGAAACCAAACUGAGCGUUAACCUACUAUAUUUAAACAUAAUAUACGUGUUUUAUAAAAUUCUUUUGUAUAUUUCCUUUGAAUUUCACAAUUAAAAAC